GACGAACGCUGGCGGCGUGCUUAACACAUGCAAGUCGAACGGAAAGGCCCUGCUUUUGUGGGGUGCUCGAGUGGCGAACGGGUGAGUAACACGUGAGUAACCUGCCCUGGACUUUGGGAUAACUACAGGAAACUGGGGAUAAUACAGGAUAGGAGCUCCUGCGGGAGGGUGGGGGAGGGAAAGUUUCGGCGGUGGGGGAUGGACUCGCGGCUUAUCAGCGUGUUGGUGGGGUAGUGGCUUACCAAGGCUUUGACGGGUAGCCGGCCGGAGAGGGUGACCGGCCACAUUGGGACUGAGAUACGGCCCAGACUCCUACUGGAGGCAGCAGUGGGGAAUAUUGCACAAUGGGCGGAAGCCUGAUGCAGCAACGCCGCGUGCGGGAUGACGGCCUUCGGGUUGUAAACCGCUUUCGCCUGUGACGAAGCGUGAGUGACGGUAAUGGGUAAAGAAGCACCGGCUAACUACGUG
Molecule: ribosomal RNA, 468 nt
Filed under: uncultured bacterium
Lineage: Bacteria
Description: partial 16S ribosomal RNA
Rfam family: Bacterial small subunit ribosomal RNA
Source: RNAcentral